Long non-coding RNA from Balaenoptera ricei (Rice's whale), 557 nucleotides. RefSeq lists it as uncharacterized. NCBI's taxonomy places the organism in Eukaryota, Metazoa, Chordata, Mammalia, Artiodactyla, Balaenopteridae. The transcript is spliced from 3 exons. The record is from RefSeq and is a predicted model, not a curated record.
AAGCUCGAGGGGUUUCGAGGAGGCUGGAUGGCGCCGGCCGCUUCGUGAGCCACGUGACAGGCUUGCUGCACGAUAUCUGUCAGGAAACGGUUUCCCCGUGUAACUGUAGCCCAGGCAGCGUCGAUAAAGCUUACAAAGGAGAGUUGUGGAAGGUGAGGAACCAGGAAUUAAAUUCUCUGGAAGCAUGUGAGAAGCCGUGAGAGGACUGCACCGUCUUGGUGCUCCUUCUACACACUUUGUGGGCACGUCUUGAGGGCGCAAGGCGAGUAAGACGCAGCUGUUCGAGGGAGUCUCCGUCAGCUGAGCUGUGCGAAGAAGGAUAAAGGGCGCCCCCCAAAACGGAGGCUCCUUCAGGAAACUUCCCAGCGCCAACUUGGGAAAAACGCGCAAGGGACGACCAGGUGCACUGUAGGUCAGCGACUGCAGCGGCCAGUGACUCGAUCCUUGCGGAACUGGAUGGUGGGCAACAUCCUUCAUUUUACACCAGGCUCCUAUGCCAGCUGCUGCUGAAGGGCUGGACAAUUGAGGGGACUUGAAGCAGUAGCUAGCAAGUGGUG